GGCUGGUUAGCUCAGCUGGUUAAAGCAUAGUGCUAAUAAUGCCAAGGUCUUGGGUUCAAUUCCCAUACUGGUCA
RNAcentral lists this transfer RNA (74 nucleotides) under Poecilia formosa (Amazon molly). It matches the Rfam family "tRNA". Rfam says of the family: Transfer RNA (tRNA) molecules are approximately 80 nucleotides in length. Their secondary structure includes four short double-helical elements and three loops (D, anti-codon, and T loops). The record is from Rfam by way of RNAcentral. Lineage: Eukaryota; Metazoa; Chordata; Actinopteri; Cyprinodontiformes; Poeciliidae.